CUUAAAUGGAAAUGAAAACCAUUCCUAUUUCAUUGGAGUUCUUAGAAGGUUAAAAAAUACAUGUAAAAUUAUAUGAUUGUAUGAUAUCAAUAUGUCUCUAAAAAAAGUCAGUUAUGUUGUACUGCACUAAAAAAUAUCAGGCAAGUUAUAAAAUGGGUUACACAAUGUGCUCUCUCAUUCAGAUUUGAAAAUCUAAAGUACUUGCAAAUUCUUAAGAACACUACCAGAACACUUGCAGCCCUUCCUUACGCUUCUUUCUCCUGGAGUGCACCAAUACAAUCACCUGUAAACUAAAGAUUAGGCACCCUGAGCACAAUUUCCUGAAAUAACUCAGAAGACUGCCACCAGGAUCAUGCUGAGAUCUCCUGAUACCAGCUUUGAUGGCUAAGAUGUCCUCAAAGAAAAAAAAUGCAUGUUUGCAACAAUGCUGAUUCUUAUCUGAAACCUCAUUUUUCUCUUUUUAGACUAUAAAACUCCCUGCAAUUCUUCCCUAAGAGAGGA
Molecule: long non-coding RNA, 501 nt
Filed under: Sus scrofa (pig)
Lineage: Eukaryota; Metazoa; Chordata; Mammalia; Artiodactyla; Suidae
Description: lncRNA (ENSSSCG00030050477.1)
Source: RNAcentral